GGGUUUGAUCCUGGCCCAGGACGAACGCUGGCGGCGUGCCUCAUGCAUGCAAGUCGGACGA
This 61-nucleotide ribosomal RNA is filed under the name Chloroflexota bacterium. Its description in RNAcentral is "Chloroflexi bacterium (hot springs metagenome) partial 16S ribosomal RNA". Lineage: Bacteria; Bacillati; Chloroflexota. The record is from RNAcentral.